GAUUCAGGUAUUACACUUCUGACACUUGGUGGUGUGUUGAUUUUCCUGGCCGCAACGUUAUUCUUCACAAGUGUUAUAUUCUUUAUAAGGGCCAAAAGGAUAAGGAAAGAGACAGAAAUGGUAUCAAUAAGGAACACUUAUGAUAAAGUUACUUUCAAUGCAGUAUCUGCAGCUACUUACUCUUCUCUUGAUAAUUUAACAACUACUUAUCACCGUUCUUUAGAAAAGCAAGACAGUGAUGGCUAUGUGGAGCCUGGGCCUUUUACAGAACGAAAUAUAAGGGCAUUUUAAACCCAUUUUUAUGAAAAUAAA
Molecule: long non-coding RNA, 312 nt
Organism: Saccostrea cuccullata (small rock oyster)
Lineage: Eukaryota; Metazoa; Mollusca; Bivalvia; Ostreida; Ostreidae
Exons: 4
Source: RefSeq, a predicted model, not a curated record